AGAGUUUGAUCAUGGCUCAGAUUGAACGCUGGCGGCAGGCCUAACACAUGCAAGUCGAACGGUAGCACAGAGGAGCUUGCUCCUUGGGUGACGAGUGGCGGACGGGUGAGUAAUGUCUGGGAAACUGCCCGAUGGAGGGGGAUAACUACUGGAAACGGUAGCUAAUACCGCAUAAUCUCUAAGGAGCAAAGCAGGGGAACUUCGGUCCUUGCGCUAUCGGAUGAACCCAUAUGGGAUUAGCUAGUUGGUGAGGUAAUGGCUCACCAAGGCGACGAUCCCUAGCUGGUCUGAGAGGAUGACCAGCCACACUGGAACUGAGACACGGUCCAGACUCCUACGGGAGGCAGCAGUGGGGAAUAUUGCACAAUGGGCGCAAGCCUGAUGCAGCCAUGCCGCGUGUAUGAAGAAGGCCUUCGGGUUGUAAAGUACUUUCAGCGAGGAGGAAGGUGUUGUGGUUAAUAACCGCAGCAAUUGACGUUACUCGCAGAAGAAGCACCGGCUAACUCCGUGCCAGCCGCCGCGGUAAUAC
This 529-nucleotide ribosomal RNA is filed under the name uncultured bacterium. Its description in RNAcentral is "bacterial SSU rRNA". It matches the Rfam family "Bacterial small subunit ribosomal RNA", at positions 8 to 526 of the family's 1533-position model. The record is from RNAcentral.